This 4429-nucleotide ribosomal RNA is filed under the name Triticum aestivum (bread wheat). RNAcentral describes it as "partial small subunit ribosomal RNA". The stretch from base 4045 to 4170 matches the Rfam family "MIR1120/MIR1122 microRNA precursor family". The record is from RNAcentral. Lineage: Eukaryota; Viridiplantae; Streptophyta; Magnoliopsida; Poales; Poaceae.
AUACGAUGUGCUGGUUGGCUGGGUCAACCGUUUCGUGGUGCGUGCACACCGUGUCCCUGCACGCCGCGUGCACAUCGCGCUGAUUGCGGGAGAUCGUGCGAGAGCAACACCCGUUGGUCACCGCCCCGCACAAACCCUACCCUUUCCAGUGCUCCCAAAUCGACGCAGCCGCCUCCCCUCUCCCUCCCUUCCUCCCCAAACGCGUCGGCCGCCUCCUCUCCACCUGCCAUACCGCGUCCCCGCUGCCGCCAUGGCCUCUUCAGGAGGCACGCCCGUCCAUGGUGUGAAGCAGCAGACCAGGAUCUGGAUGAGGAAGAGGAGAUCCGGGCGCCCCAACGGUGGAUCGAUCGAUGCGAGGUGACAACGAGCUCCUCCGGACGUGGGGGAGCAGCGAGGCCGGAGAUCCAGUCGGCGCAUGCGGGUCGAAUUAGCUGCAGCGCUCCGGUCCCCAAGCCGCCUCCAGGCUCGCUUCCUCCAUCCUCCCACGUCGAUUGCACCCCUCCUCCCGCAUCUCACCCAUCUCGAUGGAUGGCGUGCGGGCACAGAGGCGAGGUUCUCCGGCGGCGGCGGGAACCUCCAGGCAGAGCGACCCCAUGGAUCCGUCCCUGCAGGAGAAAAGGAAUGAGAGGAGCAGCGGCGCUGGCCUCUCCUCUCCCUGCACCGCCGCUGUCCUGCGUUGUCACUGACGUCCCCAAGUGCUUCUCUCCAGAAAUGGUGCCACCAUGUCCAGAUCAAGUCAAGCGCCAGACAUAUGGAGGAAGAUUAGUUAGUAAUGCCCAUAUGAAUUUGAACGUACAAUUUAUAGACAUCCUUCAAUUGCAUUACAAGCCCUGGAAGAGCGACACCAGCCAGGCAUUGUAUGGGAUGGAUCUAUCAUGCUGAGAUUAGUUGUAGACUUCCUUGCUGAACCCUGCAUGGAGCAAUGCAUCCCCAGUUUGCUUCCAGAGGAGGAAGGGGAAGAGAUCUGAGAGAGGAGAGGAACAGAAGAAUCCAUUAGAAGAAUUUAGUGAAGAACAAGGGCAAUGUUUAUUGACGAUUUUUUGCUUUGGAAAACACUUUCCGUAUGCUGCCUGAAAUGGAUUCUUCAUAACGUUGUCUUUGAAUUCGCACCAAAUUCAGUCACAAUUCAAUACUGAUUAAAGCAAUAGGAAUUUCACCGGCAAGUGUUUGUGAGUCGUUCUUGGCAUAUAUUGUCCUAUAGUAAUACUUGAUGUAGUUAUUGAAUCGAGAUAUCUGGAUUUAUUUACUUCCAUUUGACUUAUUCAUUCUGGGAUGAAUUUUGUGUUUGCCUGCCUUUCACCUCUACACACCAUCAUUGUUUUCUUGAUGUUGUCACCCAUGUGUUAAUGUUGUAGAAGAUGUAUCAUUUGACUUCUUUUAGGUUCUAUUUUUUUACUGAGCAUACGUGGAUGCCCAUGAAGUGUUCAUUGUUUUUUUAACAAGUAAAUAUUGAUGCACAGAAGAUUUAUAUGGUAGUUUCCAUUCUGGUUUACAUGGGUAGUACCUGAAGCUUAUUUAUAUUUCCACUCCUGUGGAUUUAUUUGAGAUUCUUGAUUCUUGACAUAUCAGGAGUUAGUGUUGGUGUUAUGUUCUACCAGAUCCAUUUUUUGCUCAUGUUUCUUAGGUUCAAUUAGUGUUCUCCAUUUUUCUAAUAAGUGAACGUGGACACAUACAGACAGUAGAGGAACAAUCACUGUUCUCUUUGUGUUUUAGCGAGUAUAUGUGGAUGCACAGAAAGCAUUAUGUUCUUGUUUACAAGGUAGUACAUGGAGCAUAUUUACUUUGUCUAAACUGUAAUAUUUAUUUUGUCUGCUUGCAUCAAAAUCGAAAUGCGGCUUUUGCUUGCUAAUAAUUUUGGUUACGGUGUGGCUGGCUACCUAUUACUCAAGAUGGUUCCAUAUUAUAUCAUCAAUUUCAGGAACCUUAUCUCAUAUGUUGCUGAUUUCAUAACAGAUUGUUGGCAUUGUAGCUUCAAGAGACAUGUAUGUUGCUUAUCUUUUGCCUACUGAGCACACAAAACAAAUGUUUCUAUGAAUAUAUGUAAGUGAAACAACAUGCUCCCAUUUUUGGUCAGUUGGUGGACCUGACUAAUACAUAUUUUUUUGGUGAGAGAUAUUAUUCAUAUGUUCUCAGCCAUGUACCCAUAAUUAAUAAACUAAUGGUUUUUUUGUUGGGCUGUUGCUGCCUCCAAUCUUUUGCCCGGCAAACAAAUGCUCAAUAUUUAUUUGUUUUCUCCUUCCUACGAGUGCUUCGUCCUUGUAUCUGUUGGUGGAAUACAAUGUUCUUUAUUCUCCAUGUUUUGGUUAAUAUCAAUUUCCAUGCUUCAUGUUUGUUUACCUUUAUCAUUUUUGCACUGUCUUGUAUUAAAACAGGAUUCUUUACUCAAAUCCUGCUAAUAACUAAAGCCUUUCAAGGAUGUUGCUUCAAUAUGGAAAGAUGUUCCCCUGCAAGUUUUUUGAUUGUUACAACAAAGACUACUUUUUGAGUUGUCGAGGCGAGUUGAUGAUCUAACCACUAGCGGCUGAGAAACUUCAUUUAGAAUGUGACGUGUCAUGUACUUAUAGGCUAAUCGAGUGACCUUUUUGUUAUCUAUGGAAUAUGAAUCUCCAAAUUUUGUGCGUGCUCUAAGCAGUAAGCACUCAAAAUUUGUGGUUGUAAACAAUAUUUAACCUUGUUAUUCUUCACAAAUAGUGUAAUGACAUAGGAAGAUAUAAACAUGGUAUUUUCUGAUGGUCUCUUUUAAAUUGGGCCAGUAAUUUUAUUUGUGUAGAUAACAACAUGUGGACCUCCUUCAGAGUCAUGGGAAGAAAAACUUUGGGUUAAAAGCAAAUUUAAACACAUUGUAUUUUUCGGAUUUUGUGAUUUAUGAUGUUCAGGUCAAGGAUGUCAAGUUCUGCUUCUCUGUUUCGAACCUUUUAUUCUCUGUUUGGCCUAUAACUUGUAUUGCCUUAUUGGUAAAGAUUUAAAUUAAGCCUUGCUGCUACAAACUUUUAUUUUCUUGGAGAAGAUUGUAUUCAUUGGUUGGUGAGUUGAUCUAUUUGUGAUUUGUACCUCGGUUGACAGAACAUCUGAUAUUUGAAAUGAUGAAUCGGGGAUCUUAGGGUCAUUAGAGCAUAUGUAACUCGGGAACAACGACAAGUUGUUUAUGUUGAAGGUGAUCACACCUUGAUUGCUGGACAUGAUCGGAUUCAGUUAGAUGUGAUAUUGGGGUCCAAAAAGAUUGAGGUUUGUACAACUCCUAAAAGUUCAUCUAAUCCUUUCAAGCACUCAGUCCCUUUUAGGGUUAUGUUUGUUUCACCUAAUUAAUAAUUGGAAUUUGUUGGCACCAAACAUUAGUCUACACUCGUAUUUAUGAUGAGAACUAUGAAAAUUUAUUUUGUAGUACAUUGUGGUUUAUUAGUGUUCUACAGACUAUGGUCAUUUGUGUUAUGUUCUCUAUUAUAAACUGUCACAAUAUUUGGCCAAACCUUGCGUACAUCCUGUACAUACUUUUCUCAGUUUAAGCCCCCAUUCAGCAUUCUGGUGAUUAUGCCAAUCACCGUUGUCUGAACCCUGAUUUAGAUGUUUGGAAGCGUGUCUAGCUGCCUUUUUCUGAGGUUGCUGACAAAUAUACUACUGUCUCUUCCAAAACAUAUGGUAUGAAAUUUAGCUACAACCAUUUGACUGUCUCUUCCAAACCUUCCUUGCUUUUGCAAAUAAUACUUUAUGGUUGGCACUAUUGUCUAUAUCUGCCAAAUAUUUACAUGUUAGUAUAGCCAGAAAUUCAGAUGCCACACAUUAGUGAUGGUUUGUUAUUCAUCAUUCCAUGUUGGUUAGCCAUGAUAAAUUUGAUUUCUAGAGUAGCAGAUGAUUCAUGUCAGGUUUCUUUUAGAGAUUGAAAUAUGCGUUGACUCUGAAAUAAGUAGUACGCCGUCCAGUUCUGCAUAGGUGAAAGCAUACUGAUCCCAUUUACAUACUAUGCAAAACUGGACGGCCUUCUAAAUAUUUAAAACUACUAUUUGUUGUGUAAUCUGUAUCACCUCUUCAUACUCUGUAUAUGCUUUCGACUUACUCCCUCCGUCUGAAAAAACUUGUCCCUCAAAUACAUGUAUCUAGCACCAAGUUAGUGCUAGAUACAUCCAUUUGAAAGAUAAGCUUGAGACAAGUUUUUCUGGACGGAGGGAGUACUAGGUAAAAGUGCGUGAGAAUGAUGGCCUUUUAUUCAUUCAAGAGCUCUAAAUGACACCGUUGUAUUGGCAACAUAUUCAGUCAUUUCGGAUCAUCUUGUUGGUGUGUGCUGUAAAAUGAGUUGUGACAUUUGUUGGUAUGUGCUGUAAAAAACUGAAAAAAAGCAGUUCAUGUUUAUUUUUCUUCUGAAUUUUGUUCCCCUGUAAGAUGUGGCCUACUGUAUACUCUUGGGAUAAAUGAGUUGUGACAUUUGUUGUUGUCC